GAGAAGAACGUAGCGAAAUGCGAUAAGUAAUGUGAAUUGCAGAAUUCAGUGAAUCAUCGAAUCUUUGAACGCACAUUGCGCCCGCCAGUAUUCUGGCGGGCAUGCCUGUCCGAGCGUCAUUUCAACCCUCGAACCCCUCCGGGGGGUCGGCGUUGGGGACCUCGGGAGCCCCUAAGACGGGAUCCCGGCCCCGAAAUACAGUGGCGGUCUCGCCGCAGCCUCUCCUGCGCAGUAGUUUGCACAACUCGCACCGGGAGCGCGGCGCGUCCACGUCCGUAAAACACCCAACUUCUGAAAUGUUGACCUCGGAUCAGGUAGGAAUACCCGCUGAACUUAAGCAUAUCAAUAAGCGGAGGA
RNAcentral lists this unclassified non-coding RNA (357 nucleotides) under soil metagenome. RNAcentral describes it as "partial contains 5.8S ribosomal RNA, internal transcribed spacer 2, and large subunit ribosomal RNA". The stretch from base 3 to 119 matches the Rfam family "5.8S ribosomal RNA", at positions 38 to 154 of the family's 154-position model. The record is from RNAcentral.